This 209-nucleotide long non-coding RNA is filed under the name Elaeis guineensis (African oil palm). Its description in RNAcentral is "long non-coding RNA (EGUI_LNC008310)". Lineage: Eukaryota; Viridiplantae; Streptophyta; Magnoliopsida; Arecales; Arecaceae. The record is from RNAcentral.
GUUGAUGCAUCACUUCCCAAACAAAUAGUCAAUAAAUCUAAUUUGAUUGAAAAUAAUCACAAUAAUAAUACUGAAUCUGGAGUAUUAUGGAGAUAUAAUAGAAUUAAAAGAUUAGUCAUUUCAUAUGAUUAUAUUAUUUGCCUACAAGAAUAUGAUUAUAAUAUUAGGAUGAAAGAUGAUCCAAUCUCAUUUAAGGAUGUUAUGAAUAG